AGCGGCUCCGAGCGCCCCGUGGGUCCCUUCGUGCUGGGUGCCGCCGCUGGCAAUGGGAGAGGCGAGCCCGGCUGGGCCGUGUGGAGCUUUAAGUGUGCCGGGCCGUCUUCGGCUCUGCUCGCCGUGUAGGCGGGGAGUUCCAUACGGUGUCACGAAAUCACACAACGGAUUGGUUUGGAAGGGACUUCUGCUGAUUAUCCAGUUCAAGUCCUCUGCCAAGGCAGGGUCACCUGGAGCAGGUGGCACAGCAAGGCGUGCAGCAGCCCUGUGUAUAUGGACCCACAGAGGACAUUUUGAAGAAAAAAGAAAGCAGUCAGGAAAGAAGUUCAAUUAUUUAUGGUGAGCAGAUGGAUUUAUCAAGCCUGCCUGCUGAGACAGAGGCGUGGCUGUGCAAAUCAGCUGUGGAGACUGCUUUGCUUGGUUUUUCAAAAUAAUUCUUAAACGUUGGUUGAUAYCAUGUUGAUCGUCGCUCAGCAUGAAAGAUCACUUAUGAAUGGAGGGCACGAAGUGGUUUCCAUUGCUGCCAUCUCCUGGCGAAGUUAAUGAACUCCACGCGGCAAUAACAAAAGCACAUUAACAGGGAGGAGAAAUUAGACAAACUAAAAUUGCAUGCAAAUUUUCCUGAAAGCAGCUGGUAGAUGCCAGGAAAGCAUCUCAAAGUAUAAUACACACCAGAAGGACCAUUUCCAGCUGAAAAUUUCCAUGCUUCCUGAAACUGCCGUGUUCGUUGUUGUAGUACCGAUGUAACACCCAGAAUGAUAUUAGAAAAUGUAAGAAAAAAAUAUUAUAUUUCUCUGUGUUUUGGCAGGCAUUUGACAUAAUGACUCUGCAAUCAAUUUUAUGGUUUUGCUGAUGYAAUUUCUCUGCUCUUUCAGAGUGGGAAAAUAGAGAACAUUUUGGGGUUUAGGCAGGUAAGCACUUAAUGUUUUAACAAUGGAAAUUAUCCAUGAAAGUUCAAGGAGAGGCACAAGGUUAGAAUUGUUUGUUAAUUAACAUUUUUGGAACUGAUCACCUGACAAUGCCCCUAUAAUUGCUGUUGUUUAGUAACUAUGAAUUGCUGUUGUUUAGUAGUAUAUGAAAGAAAAAUUAUUAAAUCUCCUAGAGUUCUGUAAAGGCAAAAUAAGAAUUUCAGUCACCUGAGCAACAAAUAAAAAAAAAAUAAAGAAAUAAAUUUAGGUGCUAUUUUUGCUGCAUAUUCAACACAUUUCACUGCAAAAAAAUAGGCUCUUCUGUGCUCUGCACACAGAGCAGCUCCAUGAGGUGCACAGCCGAAUCCAGUGGGAAUCCAUCAUACAAAUAGGAAAUACAUUCAAUUUCUGCCCUCAUUUUCUGAACAAAAGCACAGUAUUUUGUUUGUAUUCCAUUCAUUCAUGACAAAUUUCAGAUUCUUUAGAGUUUUAUCAUUACUUUGGCUUGCUCAUGAGUUCCAAUUAAUUUUAAUGAUUUAAGGAUCAAAAAAACGCUCAGUAUUUCCUGACGUCACACCUUUAUACUUCAACUGCAAGCUCCACUAAUCCUCAGAAAUUCAUUAUGGGAAAGAUGGAGCACUUGAUAGCUUUUUGAUCUCUUCCACAAUCRUUACUUCAUUCAUCAGCCAGCCAGYUGGCUGUAUCAGCUCCCUUUGGAGUCCCUUUCCCUGACUAAGCAGUGCUGCCAUAAAACUGCAUUGUAUCCCCGUGCUCUGCCCUUCCUCCACAGAUGUUACUGUUUCAAUGGGCAUACACAGUCCCUUAGCAAAGCUAAAAUACUGCUCUGCCAAGUUCCUCUUGGCCAAGAUACUUCCUGAUGCUGAUUUUUUUAAGAGCUUGUGCGAACUAUGUACCUUUCCCACUCCAAGGACAGAAUAUCUUUGGUUUACUCUGGCUGGCAGCCUGCCCAUAUGGCAUCCAGGUUUCUGGGGUUCAGAAUGGUUUCCAUAUGAUCAGACUAAAUUAUUUUGGCAUCAAAAAUGGUUUGGCAGUGCACAGCACUCUCUGGAGCACAGUCAUUUAUGCUCAACAAAUAUUUUCAUCUAUAAAUGAAAGUCAACCCCAGAAAUGUAAAACCUAACCUUUUAGCAGGGCURUUUUCUUUGCAUUGUGAAGUCCUCAAUAAAAUGUUUUGUAGAAGCUCCAACCCUAUUCAAUGAACUAAGUCUUUUUAACCUGUAAAUCUCUGCUUUUUAAUCCCACUAUCAAUGGCCAUGUGAAAUACAACUGACUCUCAUGAAACUGCUCAAGAAUAACCAUGAUUCCAAUUUGGACUUACUUCAUAUGAUAUCACUGCUAUUCAGAAUAAGAUAACCAGGGCACUUCCCUUUGCUCUACUUAUGGCCUUCCUAGUUAAUGUGUCACACUAAGAAGGUGUGGACAAGAAAAAGAAUUAGCACUCAUUAGAGACAACUGUGACCUAAUGAAGAAUUCAUGGGGAAUGACAGGAUGAGCAGGGACUGCACAGGGAAUGCACUGUGACAGCCAUGGUGGUGAGCGGGUAUCUGGUGUGAUUCAAAGCUGCUUACAGCAGUGAACGUCAGACAUUGCAUUCUCAAAGAAUGGGUGAGAAUGCAUAGAAAACAUAAAAUAUUUAUGCUUUAUUUGUCUUUUCAUAACCACUAUAUAUGGCAGACAUACCUGUGGGAAAACUCCCCUCUGCUCUUUGUCAGAGGCAGAUGCCUGGGAGCAUUAGGAGGUGGAUCAGAGCCUGAACAAAGCAUUCAGUGAGCUGUGUGCAUUCAGUGAAUGCUGGAAGUGCACACACUUGAGUAUAGUGAAUCUUCAAGKGAGGGUCCAGAGCACUUUCCAAAAUGUUUCUGUGGCACUUACACUGCUCAGUAGUUUUAGCAUUUUCCCUCAGGAGGGAAACAGGAGACAGGCUCAGUGAACAACAGGCUCACCCUUCCCUGCAGGUAUUUCUUAUUAAGGGGGCAAAUGUUUUGCUGUUGAUGCUGUUMUACCUCUCCCCCAUCUAAAGAAGGGACCAGGACUGCCAUAUUUUCCAGCCCCGCAGUUUUCCCAGGCAUGCAGGAAUAUCAACACACAAGUUAAUUCCAAGUGGUUGUUCUAUGGACAAAGUUUAGUUCCUACAGCUCAUUUCAAAUGUCCCUGCACAUCCUCUCUCAUGUGUGAUCAUCCUGGUCACCUGCUCACCACCCCUGCAUUUGCUGUCAUGUAACACUGGCCAGAUUUCUGCUGUCUCCCUUACUCUUUCCCUCAUUUCUGUACAUCCUGUUUUCACUAAUUCCUCACUCUGGUGCUUCAUCUUCCUCUCAUGCCUCUAUAUUUUUGGCAGCUCGAGAGGCAACAUAUGCUCUGUCGGGUUCAGAGCUCCGUGUGUGCUGCCCAUCGUGCCAGCGCACACAUGCUGUUCACGCAGCAGAGCCGUGCCUCCUGCAGAGGAGAAGUGCUGAGCUACCCCUUCCUCUCCUCCUCAGGGACACUUCCUCAGCCCUUUAUACCAGUCACCUGCAUUUUUUUUUAUCCUUGUAGGAACUAAAUAUCUUUGAGGCUGCUACUUUUUUGGCAGAUUUGGUAAAAAUAGCCGUGUGGCUUCAGGAGUCUUUGUACAGUGGGAAGGCGGAUAGGAGGAGAGAUAGUCACUGCAAUUGUACUACUUCAGUUCCUUAGAAAUCAGAGCUAAAAAUUAAUUACGUUGGAAAACGGAUCAUAAGGAUAUGGACUCACUACCCUGUCUUUCUGUCCGCCUACCAGACCUCUUAUCUCCUAUCCUGACUUUAUAUCAUAAGAUCAUGA
Long non-coding RNA from Malurus melanocephalus (red-backed fairy wren), 3728 nucleotides. RefSeq lists it as uncharacterized. The record is from RefSeq and is a predicted model, not a curated record. The transcript is spliced from 3 exons. Lineage: Eukaryota; Metazoa; Chordata; Aves; Passeriformes; Maluridae.